This 1521-nucleotide ribosomal RNA is filed under the name metagenome. RNAcentral's name for it is "bacterial SSU rRNA". It matches the Rfam family "Bacterial small subunit ribosomal RNA". The record is from RNAcentral.
GAGCUUGAUCAUGGCUCAGAUUGAACGCUGGCGGCAGGCCUAACACAUGCAAGUCGAACGGUAACAGGAAACAGCUUGCUGUUUCGCUGACGAGUGGCGGACGGGUGAGUAAUGUCUGGGAAACUGCCUGAUGGAGGGGGAUAACUACUGGAAACGGUAGCUAAUACCGCAUAACGUCGCAAGACCAAAGAGGGGGACCUUCGGGCCUCUUGCCAUCAGAUGUGCCCAGAUGGGAUUAGCUAGUAGGUGGGGUAACGGCUCACCUAGGCGACGAUCCCUAGCUGGUCUGAGAGGAUGACCAGCCACACUGGAACUGAGACACGGUCCAGACUCCUACGGGAGGCAGCAGUGGGGAAUAUUGCACAAUGGGCGCAAGCCUGAUGCAGCCAUGCCGCGUGUAUGAAGAAGGCCUUCGGGUUGUAAAGUACUUUCAGCGGGGAGGAAGGGAGUAAAGUUAAUACCUUUGCUCAUUGACGUUACCCGCAGAAGAAGCACCGGCUAACUCCGUGCCAGCAGCCGCGGUAAUACGGAGGGUGCAAGCGUUAAUCGGAAUUACUGGGCGUAAAGCGCACGCAGGCGGUCUGUUAAGUCAGAUGUGAAAUCCCCGGGCUCAACCUGGGAACUGCAUCUGAUACUGGCAAGCUUGAGUCUCGUAGAGGGGGGUAGAAUUCCAGGUGUAGCGGUGAAAUGCGUAGAGAUCUGGAGGAAUACCGGUGGCGAAGGCGGCCCCCUGGACGAAGACUGACGCUCAGGUGCGAAAGCGUGGGGAGCAAACGGGAUUAGAUACCCUGGUAGUCCACGCCGUAAACGAUGUCGACUUGGAGGUUGUGCCCUUGAGGCGUGGCUUCCGGAGCUAACGCGUUAAGUCGACCGCCUGGGGAGUACGGCCGCAAGGUUAAAACUCAAAUGAAUUGACGGGGGCCCGCACAAGCGGUGGAGCAUGUGGUUUAAUUCGAUGCAACGCGAAGAACCUUACCUGGUCUUGACAUCCACGGAAGUUUUCAGAGAUGAGAAUGUGCCUUCGGGAACCGUGAGACAGGUGCUGCAUGGCUGUCGUCAGCUCGUGUUGUGAAAUGUUGGGUUAAGUCCCGCAACGAGCGCAACCCUUAUCCUUUGUUGCCAGCGGUCCGGCCGGGAACUCAAAGGAGACUGCCAGUGAUAAACUGGAGGAAGGUGGGGAUGACGUCAAGUCAUCAUGGCCCUUACGACCAGGGCUACACACGUGCUACAAUGGCGCAUACAAAGAGAAGCGACCUCGCGAGAGCAAGCGGACCUCAUAAAGUGCGUCGUAGUCCGGAUUGGAGUCUGCAACUCGACUCCAUGAAGUCGGAAUCGCUAGUAAUCGUGGAUCAGAAUGCCACGGUGAAUACGUUCCCGGGCCUUGUACACACCGCCCGUCACACCAUGGGAGUGGGUUGCAAAAGAAGUAGGUAGCUUAACCUUCGGGAGGGCGCUUACCACUUUGUGAUUCAUGACUGGGGUGGAGUCGUAACAAGGUAACCGUAGGGGAACCUGCGGUUG